GAUGAACGCUGGCGGCGUGCCUAAUACAUGCAAGUCGAGCGAACAGACGAGGAGCUUGCUCCUCUGACGUUAGCGGCGGACGGGUGAGUAACACGUGGAUAGCCUACCUAUAAGACUGGGAUAACUUCGGGAAACCGGAGCUAAUACCGGAUAAUAUAUUGAACCGCAUGGUUCAAUAGUGAAAGACGGUUUUGCUGUCACUUAUAGAUGGAUCCGCGCCGCAUUAGCUAGUUGGUAAGGUAACGGCUUACCAAGGCAACGAUGCGUAGCCGACCUGAGAGGGUGAUCGGCCACACUGGAACUGAGACACGGUCCAGACUCCUACGGGAGGCAGCAGUAGGGAAUCUUCCGCAAUGGGCGAAAGCCUGACGGAGCAACGCCGCGUGAGUGAUGAAGGUCUUCGGAUCGUAAAACUCUGUUAUUAGGGAAGAACAAAUGUGUAAGUAACUAUGCACGUCCUGACGGUACCUAAUCAGAAAGCCACGGCUAACUACGUG
This 497-nucleotide ribosomal RNA is filed under the name uncultured bacterium. RNAcentral describes it as "partial 16S ribosomal RNA". It matches the Rfam family "Bacterial small subunit ribosomal RNA", at positions 28 to 507 of the family's 1533-position model. The record is from RNAcentral.